GACGAACGCUGGCGGCGUGCUUAACACAUGCAAGUCGAGCGGUAAGGCCCUUUCGGGGGUACACGAGCGGCGAACGGGUGAGUAACACGUGGGUGACCUGCCCUCAGCUCUGGGAUAAGCCUGGGAAACCGGGUCUAAUACUGGAUAUGACUCCAUGACGCAUGUUGUGGGGUGGAAAGCCUUGUGCGGGCUGAGGAUGGGCCCGCGGCCUAUCAGCUUGUUGGUGGGGGGAU
This 233-nucleotide ribosomal RNA is filed under the name uncultured bacterium. Its description in RNAcentral is "partial 16S ribosomal RNA". It matches the Rfam family "Bacterial small subunit ribosomal RNA", at positions 28 to 261 of the family's 1533-position model. The record is from RNAcentral.